ACGCUGGCGGCGUGCUUAACACAUGCAAGUCGAACGGUAGUUACGUUUUCGGAUGUAACUUAGUGGCGAACGGGUGAGUAACGCGUGAGGAACCUGCCUCUCAGUGGGGGACAACAGUUGGAAACGACUGCUAAUACCGCAUAAGCGCACAGUACCGCAUGGUACAGUGUGAAAAGAUUUAUCAGCAUGAGAUGGACCCGCGUCUGAUUAGCUAGUUGGUGAGGUAACGGCUCACCAAGGCGACGAUCAGUAGCCGGCCUGAGAGGGUGAACGGCCACAUUGGGACUGAGACACGGCCCAAACUCCUACGGGAGGCAGCAGUGGGGAAUAUUGCACAAUGGGGGAAACCCUGACCGAGCAAUGCCGCGUGUGGGAUGACUGUCCUUUGGAUUGUAAACCACUUUUAUUAGGAAAGAACUGUAAGUAUAGGAAAUGAUACUUACUUGACGGUACCUUUUGAAUAAGCCCCGGCUAACUACGUG
RNAcentral lists this ribosomal RNA (482 nucleotides) under uncultured bacterium. RNAcentral's name for it is "bacterial SSU rRNA". It matches the Rfam family "Bacterial small subunit ribosomal RNA", at positions 33 to 507 of the family's 1533-position model. The record is from RNAcentral.